CACGCAGGCGGUCUGUUAAGUCAGAUGUGAAAUCCCCGGGCUUAACCUGGGAACUGCAUUUGAAACUGGCAGGCUUGAGUCUCGUAGAGGGGGGUAGAAUUCCAGGUGUAGCGGUGAAAUGCGUAGAGAUCUGGAGGAAUACCGGUGGCGAAGGCGGCUCACUGGCUCGAUACUGACGCUGAGGUGCGAAAGCGUGGGGAGCAAACAGGAUUAGAUACCCCUGUA
This 225-nucleotide ribosomal RNA is filed under the name uncultured Pantoea sp. Its description in RNAcentral is "partial 16S ribosomal RNA". It matches the Rfam family "Bacterial small subunit ribosomal RNA", at positions 568 to 792 of the family's 1533-position model. The record is from RNAcentral. Lineage: Bacteria; Pseudomonadati; Pseudomonadota; Gammaproteobacteria; Enterobacterales; Erwiniaceae.